RNAcentral lists this ribosomal RNA (427 nucleotides) under uncultured Oxobacter sp. RNAcentral describes it as "bacterial SSU rRNA". It matches the Rfam family "Bacterial small subunit ribosomal RNA", at positions 355 to 794 of the family's 1533-position model. Lineage: Bacteria; Bacillati; Bacillota; Clostridia; Eubacteriales; Clostridiaceae. The record is from RNAcentral.
UGGGGAAUAUUGGGCAAUGGGGCGCAAGCCUGACCCAGCAACGCCGCGUGAGGGAAGAAGGCUUUCGGGUUGUAAACCUCUGUCCUUGGUGACGAAGGAAGUGACGGUAGCCAAGGAGGAAGCCCCGGCUAACUACGUGCCAGCAGCCGCGGUAAUACGUAGGGGGCGAGCGUUGUCCGGAAUUACUGGGCGUAAAGGGUGCGUAGGCGGUCUUUUAAGUUGGAUGUGAAAUCCCCGGGCUUAACUUGGGGUCUGCAUCCAAUACUGGGAGACUAGAGUGCAGGAGAGGGGAAGCGGAAUUCCUAGUGUAGCGGUGAAAUGCGUAGAUAUUAGGAGGAACACCAGUGGCGAAGGCGGCUUUCUGGACUGUAACUGACGCUGAGGCACGAAAGCGUGGGGAGCAAACAGGAUUAGAUACCCUGGUAGU